Molecule: non-coding RNA, 101 nt
Organism: Mycena galericulata
Lineage: Eukaryota; Fungi; Basidiomycota; Agaricomycetes; Agaricales; Mycenaceae
Source: the annotation of a GenBank genome assembly
GGCUCGAUGGCGGUGGGACCGCGCCUGCGCAUCAUAGGUGUCCCAAGAAUCUGCUCACGUUUGAUGCAGGAUGUACACUCGUUCGACUCGGGUUCGAGCUA